ACAGGCCAUUACAAAAGCAAUACAUCUGAUGAACAGCUGCCAAAAAUUGGAUAUUUUUUUUACUCUCCAUGAGAGCUUGCUGUUGGGCAAACCAGCCAUAGAAAUCUUUCCUUGAAAGGUUUUUCCUGCAUAUACCUUACCUUUGAUGAGUCACCGCAGAGUGGGAGGAGGAAGAGAGUCAAACCUUACCAAUGGUGUACUGCAAAUCAAGGAGCCUACAGAUGUCUGGGCAUGUCUUUGCCCAGAGAUGUGCUACAGGGGACAGAAGGAGACUGGCUUUCAUCAAAAUGAAUGCAUGAAGGGUUUCCCUUGACAGUGAUCUGGGGUCACUGCAAAUCAAGGACUUGUUUGCAUGGUGUUUGACGUCAUCAAAAUAGGUGAAAAAGAAAAUGAUAGGCUAUGGUUGUUGUUGGAAUUGUGUAAACUACUACAUGCCAGAAAUAUCUCACAUACAGUUCUUGAGUGGGAUUAUCUACUACUAUCCACAGCAAAGAUGGUUUUGGAAGAUAAUGGAUAGCCUCGUGGAUGGUUUGGAAGCAUCAGCUGCUGCAGGAUUUCUAAACAAAGUUGAUGCCUAGGUGGGAGGCCAUGAAGACACAUAACAAAAAAAAAACUAAAACAAAAGUAUAGGUUCCCAUUUUUUAUUUCAAAUAUUUAAAUAAUACUAAUCAAUAAUACAAUAAUAAUACAAGAAUAUAAUAAUAAUAAUAAUAAUAAUAAUAAUAAUAAUAAUAAUAAUAAUAAUAAUAAUACAAGUCAGACCAUUUAAAAAACAAUAUUCCUCAUGCCAUUGUGUUUUUUAAAUCCCCUGAAUUAAUACACACUGAUAAAGGCAUGAAAUAUCAAACACAUUCACCUGGGCUUUUCUCCCACUUGGGAGGAAAAAUUGCAAUAGGUGCAUUAUCGUCAUAAAUAAGGAAAUUAUACAUAAUUAUACAUAACAAAUUAUACAUAACAAAAAAACUAAAACAAAAGUAUAGGUUCUCAUUUUUUAUUUCAAAUAUUUAAAUAAUACUAAUCAAUAAUACAAUAACAACAAUACAAGAAUAUAAUACAAUAAUAAUAAUACAAGUCAGACCAUUUAAAAAACAAUAUUCCUCAUGCCAUUGUGUUUUUUAAAACCCCUGAAUUAAUACACACUGAUAAAGGCAUAAAAUAUCAAACACAUUCACCUGGGCUUUUCUCCCACUUGGGAGGAAAAAUUGCAAUAGGUGCAUUAUCGUUAUAAAUAAGGAAAUUAUACAGCAUGGAAGAGAGAAUCAGAAUAAAGAACAUUAUGCUCUGUACAAUGAAUAUUCUCAAAUUAGCAUUUCCCCCAUCAACCAUCACACUUUCACACAAAGGCUAAGAUGCUAUAUUAAUAAAAAUAGUUCAAGAUUUCUGUUUAGUACACACACACCCUUUUUGUACUUGGAAUCAAAAUCACAGAAAGUGCAAUAGGACUAGAGAGUGGCAGUGGCUGAAAGAACAUUUUCUAGCCACGAACUAAAUUCCGUCUUAGAUUCCACAAAUUCCACCAAAACAAGCCAAGUUGUCCUAUUCUUGGGAAAGCCCUGAACACUGAACUGACAUUCCCUCUUCCUCCUUUCUCUAUUUUGGUGUUUUUGUACAUAAAGAAUUAGAGAUGCAUUUGGUAGUUCUUGAAGAUACGUGAUGGAUGUAGUCUUGCAUGGCUCAUAGUUGUUCCACAUGCAUAGCUACUCCACACGGUGAGCCAUUUAUCACCUCCACUUGGACCUAAUGUAAAGCAAAGGAAGACCCCCAACCAUGGGUUGUUUGUCCCCAGAGGAGAGCGGGGGAAUCACAGAGACACCUGUCUAUGUCCUCAUAGCCCAAGUGUUUACAUCAUCCACUGAGAUCUGCCAGAUUCCUUUGGAGAUCUCAGUAGCUCAUGUAAUAGCUUCAUGACUGGUUAUGGGGAUGAAGCCAGAUUCGUCUGCAAUGCCUCUCCUUGCUGGCUUCCAAGCAUGAAUGGUUGUGGAUGGAGGGGCAGUUUGGCAGCUUUACAGUAGGUCCUGGCGAGGGGAGGGGGCUUUCAUCAAUGUGGGGGGGGGGAGGCAGGACAUAUCGGUCUUUGAGGGCCCUUCCAGACAGGUUCUUUAUCCCAGGAUCUGAUCCCAGGUUUUAUGUUUAUCCCAGAUUAUCUGGCAGUGCAGACUCAUAUAAUCCAGUUUAAACCUGGGAUCAGAUCCUGGGAUGAAGGGCCUGUCUGGAAGGCCCCUGAGAUAAUCAAAAAGAAACUUAUGCAAAUAUGCAGACAAACGUGUGUAGGCCAUUAGCAGCAUGCCAAUGUGCAUAUCACUCUGCCCCUCCUAAUCAGAAAUGUUAAUAAAUCUUCAGGUUGGUUUGAUUCAAAUUGUUUUUUCCAGAAGAGUCUUGCUUUCAGUUCAGGAUUUGGGAAGGGGAAGGAAAUGAUGGAGACGAUGACAAUGACGAUGAGAUUUACAUCAUGAUUGGCCCUUGUCUCAAGGCAACUUACAAAAGUAAAAAGAAGCACAGUUACCAAAUCGCAUCACUCAAAAGCUAAACUGUAAUGAAACUAUCAAAAAUGCUAACUCCAGUUUAAAUUUUUUUUAUCAAUAGAUAUUUCUAAUCUAUAAGAGGAAAAUUAGUUUUUUUUUCUUGUACCUGUGACAUUUUCUCUCACUUUCCCGUCCUUGUCCAGUCAAAUCACAAGGAGAAGUUAUCUACUUUUCAGAUAACAUACAGUAUACAUUAACAAAUACUUGAAGGUCAGGCUUGUUCAGUUCAUUGAUAGAGUUUGCCACAGUAUGGACUGAAUAAAUGAAGGUUUUAUAUAGGCUUCUAUAUAAAGGUUUUAUAUCGAAGCAAUCUUAAUUUUAGGUUGUAAACCUGUUCUAAGUUUUUUUUUAUAGUGCUAUGAAAUUUCUCACAUAUUCCAAUUUCUAUCAGCUAUUGCAGGUUCUUGCACAGUUUCUUUCAAAACAGUCCAUCAUGAUGUAUUGAGUUUUAGAUUCCGCAGCAGAGUGUAUAACUGGCAAGUAAUGUGCGAGUAGUGCAGAACCUGUGAUUGGGGACACAAGUUUGUUAAGGAGCAGCAAAUUAUCCUGACAGCACAGACUUCCAGCGUAGAUUUGACCUUUUCAAGAACUUAUCUCAACAGUAGAGAGAGAGAAAAUGACAAGAUACAGAAAUAAAAACAUGAAACAGCACCACCUUUCUAUUGCUUCUAACAUAAAAGUAUAGCAGCACAUUUUCCAACUUGUGUUGGAAACCAGCCUUCAUCCUUCCUUGACAAUUGGUACUAGGAGGCCAUCCACAUUGCAAAAUUAGAGAAGUUUGAUACCACUUUAACUGUCAUAGCUCCAUCCUGUGGGUUUCUAUGAAUUGUAGUUUGUUGUGGCAUACAGUUCUCUGACAGAGAAGGGUAAAUAUCUCACAAAAAUACAAAUCCCCAAAUUCCUAUGGCAAUUAAUAUGGUUCCAACUGCUAUAAUUCCGCAAUAUGGAUAAACCUUAGGCCAUUAUCAGCCAUACUUUGGUAACCUCCUAUAUUGGUUACAGCUACUCAUUCUACAUUGAACUGCCACCAAGGAUGGCCCAAAACAGAGUUGGACAUAACAUGGCACAUGUUGAUGAACUACAAUUCCCAGUGGGCUUAGGAAGUAUAGCCAUGCUGGUGAUUAUGUCCAACUGGAAGGCUACACAAUACCCACUGCUGGCCACAGCAAAUGGAGAACAUGGUCGCUCCUUUACUUGCAGAAGGUACAUCUACGCUGCAGAAUGAAUGCACUUUGACACCAUGUUAACAGCCAUCGUUCAGUGCUAUGGAAUCCUGGGAUUUGUAGCCUGAUGCGGCACCAGCACUUUUUGGCAGGGAAAGUGAACGAUCUUGCAAAAUUAAAACUCCCAUUGAGCCAUGGCAGUCAACGUGGUAUCAAACUGCAUUCAUUCUACAGCGUAGAUGCACCCAGAGAUGGCCAGAGAGAAUACAAAGGGCAUGUGUUGGCUUGGUUGCACUUAUCGUCUAUUCACUUCUGCUGGGCCUGUUUGAAGGUAUUGGUUUUUAAUGUAAAUGGGCCAAAAUGAGUGAGGCUCUUUGUCUCCGUAGGCAUGUUCUCUCAUCCUGUAUCCUCCCAUUUUGAAAGAGCUGCCAAGCUCUGGCUUCCAUCUUCCAUCAAGGCAAGGCCUGAAGAUUUAGAAUCAGCCUCCCAGGGAAGCUUGCCAGGCCACUGCUCAAUCAAACUGGAGCAGAAGAAAUAUAUCUCCUGCUUUUUAACCAGUUUCCCAUCUGUCCUGCUACCAUUCCCGUUUUCAUGUAUGAGCUAAGCAUUUAAUCAACUGUGUUUCAGCUUGAGUGCUUUAAAAGAAAUUGCAAGGCAUUUCAAAUGCACUUUAUAAAUAAAACGCAUACGCCCAAGGACACCCCAAAUUGUACCUUCCUCUAUAGUAUGUCAUCAUAUGUACAUAAAUAAAUAAAACAAAACAUCCCUGGAAAAGGCGGCUUAAGUUUUUGAUUCCCAGGCCCUACAGUGCCUACUGCAAAUUCCAUAACCUAUUGCAUAAGCUAUUGGAAAAUAACUGCACCCAGUCUAUGGGCACACAUCUUUUUGGCAAAUGUGGAUCUCCAUGAAUAUGUGGAAACCACCUUUGGAAAACCACUAGUCAAGAGAAGCAUGACCUUGUUAGAAGUUAACUCUUUGAACAAGUGAUAUUCACAAGCCUUAAUGUUAUGACUCAUAGGAAUCUCAGCUGUUAAACUGAAGAACCAUGCCUUUAAACUGCCAAGGAUAAAGACAUGCCACUACAAAAGAUUUUGGUUUGCAGAGGAUGGUUGUGUCUUUGCAGCUGAAGUUGCCCACAAGAUAUAUACUCCCUUGAAACCUCUUAGUUUAAAAUAUGCACUCAGAGAUAAAAAAAAAGUCUUCUCUGAAAAAUAACAUAUCUUGUUUACUCAUAAACAUCUUGUAUUAAUUCACCAUACAGGCAUAUUUCUUAUUGAAGUUCAGUUAUAGAUAGGCUAUAGCUUCUCUCUGUGUUGAGAACACAGGGUAUCAUUCUUUAUCUGUAGUCCAUAGUGUUUAGGUAUACUUGUAUUCACUGAAGUCCAUAAGUAUAUAUAUCCACUGAAGUCCUAAACAACAACCUUCUCUACUAAAGUCCAAACACACUUGCACCAAUCCAGACCUCUGAGGUCUGAUACAAGACUGUUCCCAUUGAAGUUUAAACAAAUACUGAAUACAAAAUUGAGUACUGAGUCUGCACAUGCUCAGUACAAUCACAUAUCUAUAACCUCUCCAACACAAAAGAGUCAAAUUGGCAAAUCAACAUACAGUACACAUAGAAUGCAGGUUACCAAAUGUAUACAUUAACAAGUAAAUAGUGAGUGGCUUGGGAGGUUGCUAUUUCCAAUAGUGCCAAAACUGGGGGGCUGACUAUGACAACCCGCCAAAUCUUUAGCUUUUUCAAAAACAGUCUUUGAACUUUUUGUGGAUUAAAAAAAGAGGGGAAUAGCUUCAAACACUUGUUCAGAAUUUGGAAGUAAUAAGUUACUUGUAAUUAGCUCCUUUUUGCCAAAUCAAAGAUAUAACUUAAGGUGCAUCUACUCUGUAGAACCAAUGUACUUUGACCCCACUUUAACUGCCAUGGCCCAAUGCUAUGGAAUCCUGAGAUUUAUAGCACUCUUGGCAAAGUAGGCCGAUGCCCUUGUAAAACUACAGUUCCCAAGAUCCCAUAGCAUUGAUCCAUGGUAGUUAAAGUCGUGUCAAACUGCAUUAAUUCUACAGUGUAGAUGCACCCUAAGUUUUACCACAAUUGUAGUUUAAAAAGGGAGCAUUUUGCUGCUUUUGAGGUAUAAGUGUUAACAUUUCAAUAAGACCUUGUGUACAGCAUAUGUCAUUGGCGAAGGUGGAAAUCUCAGCUUGCAUUCAUCCCUUCUUAAUGUCAUCUCUCCCACUCCUCCUCUCCCACUAGCUUUCUCUACUUACUGUCUAAAUUUAGCUUAUAAACUUUUGCAGACAGAGAUCAUAUCUUCCUAUACAUAUGCUACCCAAUAAACAGGGUGAGUGACUUGUGGUCUUUCAGCUUUUGUUAAACUGCAGCUCCCACCAUCCUUUACCAUUCAUAAUGCAGGCUGAUGGAAGUUGCAAUGUAACAACGGGUGGGGUGUAGAUUUCACACUCCAUGCCAAUGCUUGGGAGUGCAACAUAAAUAACAACAAGCAUAAAACCAUCUGAUGCCACAAAUUAAGAGUACAUCUAGAAUGAAUGAAGUUUGACGUCACUUUAACUACAAUGGCUCAAUGUUAUGGAAUCCUAGGAUCUGUAGUUUGGUGAGGACUUGAUUUUUUUUUUUUUGGCAGAGAAGGCUAGACACCUCGUAAAACAACAUUUCUCAUGAUUCCAUAGCAUUGAACCCUAGUAGUUAAAGUGGGGUCAAACUGCAUUCAUUCUGAAGUGUACAUUCACCCUAAGUGUUUCAUGGAAGGGGGAUGUCAUGAAUACCUUCUGUUCUGCUUGCAUAGAGUUAAAUGUCUUUUCCACGUGUUGUCAGUGGCUCUUAAGUACAUGGAGAUAUGCCAUGUCAUGUGAUGCAAGAAACUAGCAACUGGUGAAUAAUGGCACAUUACACAUAAUGAUGUAUGACCCCUCUGCCUUUACAGACAAAUUGCUUCCUUGUUUAUAUCUAAAAUGGGCUGGUUCUCAGGGAAUUGUCUCCAUGUAUCAAUUUUCUUUUACAACCAGCGUGACAGCUGGCACUGGAUCAUGGACAAAAUAUUUUCUGGAACUGGCGCACCCUAUAGUUUGGAUGAUGGAUACUAACGUUAUUAGUAAUGUGGGAAAAUUUUGAUCCUGCUACGCUACAGAGGAUUGAGCAAUACAAUUGUUGAAGCCCAUAUUGUCCAAAGAUGGGAAUUUUAUCAUGAUAUUGUUGGACUGCACCUUCCUUGAGUAUUCAGCAUUAGCUCUAUUUAAUAGGGUUGAUAGGGCAUGCAUCAGGAAGCCAUACAUGGUGUUCUGGAACAGAUGAAUGUGCCAUGGCUGCCAUUAGUCCAUUAGCUAGCUCAAUAUUGUCUAUUUUAAUUGAUACAAGUUCUGGGAUGUCAAAUAAAAACCUUCCCCAUCCUGUUUGAAGAUAUAGCAGGGAUGGAACCUGGCUAUUCUUUAUGUAGAGCAUUGCUCUAGCAUUGAGCUAUGCCCCAUCCCCAAACAGUAUGAUAGUAGUCACAAGACAACACCAAUUGUAUCACUGCCCUUCACCAGUAUGAAGAGUCUGGAAAUCAAGUCUUGCAACCAACAAUUGAGUCACCUGAGCAUUUUUAGCAUGGAGAAGAAAAUGAAACUGGGAGAUGAUAUGACAUCCAUCAUUAAAUAUCUGAAAAUAUGUCAUGUCACAGAUCAAGGUUAUUUUGUUUUACUCCAGAAGAUAGUGCCUGAUUCUAUGGAUUCAAAUGUCAGGAAAGGAAAUUUUGAUUCAACGUUAGGAGGAACUUCCUGAUGAAAAGCUUGUACAACAGUGGAACAUAAUACUCAGAAAUAUAGUACACUCUCCUUUAUUGGAAAUUUUGAUUGUGAGAUCGGAUGUCCAUCUGCCAGGGAAGCUUUAAUUGGCUGUGGAUUCCAACACUAUCAAAAGCUUCACACAGUGGUCUUCAGAAUACCACCCAAUUGUCUAGCCUACAUGUGUCAAACUCAAGGCUUGCAGAUUGAAUCUGGCCCACAAUGUCAUUUCAUAUGGCCUUCCAGAUGCUGUACUACAGUUCAUGUAUUCCUCAUCAUUAUACAUAAUAACUAGAGCUGGUUUGAGUUGUGAUAUAGUAACAUAUGGAUGGCUGCAGCUUGUUCUAUUUAGUCAGGAUAGUGGGGUUUGAAUUUAAUACAAGGCUUGUGAAUAGGAUGUCCGACUUUAAAAUGUACUUCAACCUUUCCCCAAUCUCAGGUGUUGCUGGGUUGCAAUUCCCAUUGUCCCCAGUCUGCAUGAUGAAUAAUCAAAAGUGGUGGGAGUUGCUAUUCAAUAACAUCUGAGGACCCAAAUUGGGUACAAACUAAAGAACACUGAUGACUAUGUAAAAAAAGUUACAGCUGGCCUUCUGUAUCCACAGAAUCUCCAUCCAUGGAUUCAACAACCCUUUGAGGCUAAUGUGAAAAUGAAUGUGACAGCCCAGGGCUAGACUUAUGAUGAUAUGACCAUGACUAAGAACAAAAAGAGGUUUCUAUUGUUUACAGGAUGAAAUAUACGCACAAAUGAAAACUAGUUUACAUUUCUUGUACCACCUAAAUCUCUGAAAGGAUUUUGGGAGGGCAUAAGAACCUGAGCUGCUUCAUUUUUUCAGACAGAGGCAGGAAUAAAACACACUGUAUCAGUAAUACAAAGAGUGUGUGGGAGACUUGUGUGCUGCUACGUGACCUUCACUGUUGGACUGUCCAGGUGCUUCUCAGAGGCUCCAUUAUUCAGGCCAUGAUACUGAUAUCAACUUCAAAGUGAAAGAAAUAGAAAAGUCAGAAAUAUGAAGGUUGCGCUGAUCCUUUCCCCCCACCCACAUCUUUAUCUCUCAAAACAAUUUUCCCUUUCAUUUUGCUUGGGUUUGUGGGCAGAAACACUGUUCUUUUCAAGGUCUUAUCCUUGUGUCAUAUCCCCCCCCCCCCCUUUCCUGGAUAUAAGAGUUCACUUAGCAAAAGAAUUGCUCACAAGCUGUUUGGGGGUGUAUAUCUAUUUCUGAUCAAGCUCAUUGCCCAAACCCCACUAUAGUUUUAUAUGCUGAAGUAGCUAUGUCCAGGUUAGUCAGGGGAGAGACUCAUGGUGGUAAAUACCACAAAGAGUGAGACACAGUUUUCAUAUCACUAUCUUGAACCCAAUAAUUGACAACAGAGAGAAAUCUGCAGCUUUAGCUGUGAAGCCCUAAAAUUAGCAAUCUAAGUGCAUGCAAAUGUAGGAAAUUUAGGAAAAAAGAAUGGAUGUUUUUGUUAUUAAGCUAGCAAAUAAGCUAAGAAAGUCUAAUUCAACUGCAUUUGUAUUAGAGGGGAAACGUUUUUAACUUUUAAGUUUAUGUUAAAUUGCCCUUUCAACUGAAGUUAAAUGCCUACAUUUACCAGAAUUAGUUAUUAUUUUAUUGACUCCCAUAUGGAUCCGUACCAAAAUGUUAGGGUUAAGAGCUUCAACAUUCAGUUUCCUGGGAUAGAUGAUGAGAUGGAUGGAAUACAUGCAGUUUGAAGUGCAGAACAUAUAAUGACUACUUGGAUGCAAAGAAAAACAUACUCUUCUAAGAUGCCAUUUUUAUUUAUUAGUUUAAAAUAAUUUAGCUUUGGGAUCAACUAAAUACUAUGUUGUUAAAGGCUUUCAUGGCCAGAAUCACUGAGUUGCUGUGAGUUUUCCAGGCUGUAUGGCCAUGUUCCAACAUCGGGAAAGAAUGCUUCUGGAACAUGGCCAUACAGCCCGGAAAAAUCACAGCAACCUAGUAACAAAACACUCAUUAAAAUUAUUGGCCCCUUUGUAUUUGCCUUUCUUUCCAAUAAUGACUUAAUUACUUGGCUAAUUUGCAAUCAAAUUCAUACUGAUAUUCCAACUAGUGAAUCACCUUAGUUUAAAAAUAUAUGGUUUUUGUUAUAAAAUUCCCAACUUAUAACUUAAUUAACAAUUUAACAUGUGCAUGAAUCAGACUUAAGACAAUUAUAUUCCCACCUCCAAAGUGGAAGAAAAGCAUUACAAAAUAAGGGAGAAUGUGUGGCGUUCAUUUAUUAGAUAUAUACUGUAUUAGAUACAAGUAUAUACUCAAUUCUAAAACACAUUUCCCCCCAUAUAAACAUAUCUAAAAAUAGGAUGUGUCUUAGAAUCAUGGGUGCCUAUAUAUAUAUAUAUAUAUAUAUAUAUAUAUAUAUAUAUUCUGUUGGUAGUACUAAAAGUAGUGUGCGUCAUAAUGAUGAUAUGUGAGAAUCAAAGUCCAUACAAUUUCAGUUCCAUACAACUGUCUUUUAAAUGUGUUUUUAACUAGUACUUUUUACUGUUUGUUGUUUAAUUUGUCUAUUUCAUUUUCUUUUAUUUUGUUUUUUCAAUUUAACUUGUCAUUUAUUUUGUAUAUAUUAUUUAUUGUAUUUACUUAUGUUGUGAGCUGCCCCGAGUCCUUUCUGGGAGAUGCGGCGGGACAGAAAUAAAGAUGACGACAAUGAUGAUGAUGAUGAUGAUGAUGAUGAUGAUGAUGAUGAUGAUGAUAAUGACGUACCUACCUGAUGUCUAGCCAGGUGAAGACAUUUGCAUAUAAUACAUUCAAAUAAACAGCAUUGCAUCUAAAUCUGCUGUGUGUGAUCAGAAUGGCUCAUUAUACCUGCAGAAGACUUCAUGUCUAAUGAGGAAUUCUGUUGGCAGAAAAGAAGAGAGGUGAUCUUUGUUGAUUUCUUCUGCUUGCAUGUGGCUUCCUAUCCAUCUCCAAGGAAUUUACUCUACUGGGCUAAGUUGGGAUGGUAGUGUUGGGGAGCUGCAGAGGGAUGGGCUACUGGUGGAUUCUAGGUGGAAUUCAAAAAAAAAAAAAUCCCGACAACUACCUUGUUGCAACAACUUCAUUGACUACUGGUCUUGUUGCAGGCACAAUUCAAAGUGCUGGUUAUGACCUCGAGUCAAAGUUAUUUGAUGGAUCUUAUUCCCCCAUAUAAAUGUGCCUAUAUUUUGAGAUCUUCUUGGGAAGCCCUUUCUCUCUCCCACUUCUGCCAUAGGCACAUUUGGUGGGAACACAGGAGAAGGUCUUCUCAGUUGCUACUCCCCAGCUCUGAAAAGUCAGAUCAGCACCUUCCUUGCCAUCCUUCCUACAGGCAGAGAAGGGAAGAUCAGUGGCAAAAGAGCUUUGUACAAUGUGCAGAGUUUUGUAUUUGAUGUUUUCGUGAUUUAUGUUUUUAAUUUUUAAUACAGUACUUAAAUAACAUUUUUAACUUUUUAAUGUUGUGAUUCCUAAGGUAUGUUUGCUUUAACUGUUGUAAGCCCUCUGAAGUCCUGAACUGGAGAAAAGGCACAAUACAAAUAUAUAUAACAGCAGCCACAAUAACAAAAGGUUUACUCCUCAAGAAUAUCGUGGCACUUCAAAGAAUAACAAGGUUUAUUAGGUCUAGAGGCUUUUUUGUAGAUGACAAAUGCAUGAAGUGGGGGAUAUAAUCUGUGAAAUGAGAGCAAACUGAAACAUGAAAUGCGUAAACAGUGAUUGUAAUGUUGAUGCUUAUGGUUAACAAAGCAUAAUUGGAUGAUAACAUAGACAUCCUUCAACAGCUGAAGUGAAUACAUGUAGCUGGAUUUAAAAGCUUUCACACCUAUUGAUAAAGUUGAAUCUUUUGAUGCAUUUUUGCUCAGAGUUUUUCCAUUACAAUCUCUCUUUGACUGUUCCUUUUAGAUCAGAGAUAGCCAGCUUGGGGCAAAUGUGUGUAGGAGUCUUUACUCGUCAUGUUUCAUCAAGUUUAGUGGCACUUACUUUGGAAUCAAUAUGUUCACAAUUGCUUGGUCAGCUUGGAAUGAAAACCUGUGAAUGUUGCUAAAGCAGUUCUUGUGGGUAGAAUUGUCAUUCCACCUGGUCAGCUGGACUUCACCUGGUUUCUAGGAAUACCACCCAUGUGGCUUGAUUCCAUUUUUUUUAUUUAAAAAGCAAAAGCAAAUAUCUAGCCCUUAUAGGAUAGGAGUUAUAAGGUAAAAUGUACAGCUACCAUUUUGCCCAAUAGAAAUGAGCCAACUCUCAGAAUUAUUAAGGACAAUGGAAUUACAGAAUUUAGGAUAAAAACCAAGACAACUAAUUAAGUUGAUAAGAUAAUUAAUUAAGUCAAAAGGAGGAUCGGGGCAGUUACCAUGUGUCUCGUUUUGCUCCUGUCAUAAGGAUGGGGAGAGCAACCCCAUCCUUAUGCCAGGAGGACCAUCUGAGGAUGACUGGAGCCCUCCCUCUUCCCCUCCCAUCCCCACCCUUUCCCAGGCCUUCCCCCUCACAAGUCUGUUCCACCCGUCAUGUGCCCUAAACUUUAGGCUUACGGUCGCCCUAAGUCAGAAACGACAUGAAGGCACACAAAAACAACAAUCCUAAUUAACUUGACACUCAGGGGACUUAAUCUAGAACUUUAACUAGUCCUAUGAUACAAAAGACAGUUACUCAACUUGUAGAGAUUGGAGAUAUCUAUUAUCGCUAAACCAUGUCAUAACUUGAUGUUAUUUAGGAUUCAAAUUUUGUAGUGUUGUGAUUUGUAAUUACAUGUUAUAAUGUUGUCAUUUAUUCCCCCUUGAUUUCAAAUGUUGUAAUUUAUUCCCACUUGACUUCAGCCAAAGCUUUAUUGACCAAAAUAAAGGCUACUGACUGACUGACUAUCUCAUCAGCCAAAAGCAGACCCACACUUCCCAUUGAAUUACAGUAGUCUCACUUAUCCAACCUUUGCUCAUCCAACUUUCUGUAUUAUCCAACGCAUUCUGCCUCCC
Molecule: long non-coding RNA, 12389 nt
Organism: Anolis carolinensis (green anole)
Lineage: Eukaryota; Metazoa; Chordata; Lepidosauria; Squamata; Anolidae
Exons: 3
Source: RefSeq, a predicted model, not a curated record